GACGAACGCUGGCGGCGCGCCUAAUACAUGCAAGUCGAGCGAGCUUGCCUAGAUGAUUUUAGUGCUUGCACUAAAUGAAACUAGAUACAAGCGAGCGGCGGACGGGUGAGUAACACGUGGGUAACCUGCCCAAGAGACUGGGAUAACACCUGGAAACAGAUGCUAAUACCGGAUAACAACACUAGACGCAUGUCUAGUGUUUGAAAGAUGGUUCUGCUAUCACUCUUGGAUGGACCUGCGGUGCACUAGCUAGUUGGUAAGGUAACGGCUUACCAAGGCAAUGAUGCAUAGCCGAGUUGAGAGACUGAUCGGCCACAUUGGGACUGAGACACGGGCCCAAACUCCUACGGGAGGCAGCAGUAGGGAAUCUUCCACAAUGGACGAAGUCUGAUGGAGCAACGCCGCGUGAGUGAAGAGGUUCGGC
RNAcentral lists this ribosomal RNA (424 nucleotides) under uncultured Lactobacillus sp. Its description in RNAcentral is "bacterial SSU rRNA". It matches the Rfam family "Bacterial small subunit ribosomal RNA", at positions 28 to 419 of the family's 1533-position model. Lineage: Bacteria; Bacillati; Bacillota; Bacilli; Lactobacillales; Lactobacillaceae. The record is from RNAcentral.